UCUCCGUUGGUGAACCAGCGGAGGGAUCAUUACAGGACUCGCAAGACUCCUUCACCCUGUGAACCUCACUACAAGCACGUUGCUUCGGCGGGUGUCCUGGCGGGGGUUUUCCCUCGCCGGGGCGCACAGCCCGCCGGCAGCCUACUAUACUCUGUCUCUUUGCGUUGGCAUCUCGAGAAAAAACAAACAAGUUAAAACUUUCAACAACGGAUCUCUUGGUUCUG
RNAcentral lists this unclassified non-coding RNA (224 nucleotides) under plant metagenome. RNAcentral describes it as "partial contains small subunit ribosomal RNA, internal transcribed spacer 1, and 5.8S ribosomal RNA". The record is from RNAcentral.